UGAAGGCAUCGAAACUUUUGAUGAAAAGCUUAUCUCAGAAUUAUGAUAGCGCAAAUAUGUGUUCAAAAACUUCAUCAGGCCAUUACGAAAGUAUUUGUUUGUCAGGUGAAGAUUGCAGUACAAUAUAAUAAGAUUGGCUGUUCGGGAUAAAUUUCCUUCCUAUAAAGUAAUACAGGAAGAAAAAAAAAAGAAAUGUUAUCCUACCAAAGAACACAUCAAGGCAACUAAUACGCUUGUCUGUGCAACUUUACAAUCCUUACUGGACCACACAAUAUGUCGUCUGAUUAUUGCACAGAGGACUGUAAUAGAUUCCAUUUCCGCAAAGGAUUUACACAAAUUGCGUAUGUACACAAAGUGGGGAUUCGAUGGUAGCUCAGGCCAUAGCUCAUAUAAGCAAGUAUUUCAUGGUAUUGAAGCUUCUGAUUCUGCUGUUUUCAUAACAAGUAUUGUGCCUAUUCGUAUUGUGUUGGGCGAAAAAGUUGUUUGGCAAAAUCCUGCUCCAUCUUCGACGCGUUAUUGCAGGCCUUUGAAAAUUUAAUUUAUUAAGGAAUCCUCUGAAGUUUCAAUAGCGGAGAAAAACAGAGUUACUGAAGAGAUUGGAAAUCUUAAAAAAUCUAAAACGAUAUGUGAUGGAAAAUCGAUUGAAGUUGAGUACGCUUUACUUUUUACUAUGGUGGAUGGGAAAGUUUGUAAUGCGAUAACCCAGACGACAUCCACUGAAAAGUGCUACAUUUGUAGUGCAACAUCAAAAGAUUUUAACAAUAUUGACAAAAUGGUGAAACGAGAAAUACAUACAGAUAACUUAAGCUUUGGAAAUUCUAAUGAUGGCAACACAGCGUGACUAUUCUUUAGGGAGGCAGAGGUUUCGGCCGAAAUUACAAAAUUGGAUUUAACUUUGAUUAAAAGAUUGCACAAUAUAUUAAUAACUGUAGCCAGCGAACAUGAAAUAAAUGUUAAAAAGUUCACGAAGUAUUGCCAAGACACUGCUAGGUACUUUGUGGAUAAAUACCCUUGGUAUCGUAUGCCUCCAACAAUGCAUAAGUUUGUAAUAUAUGGCCCUGAAAUAAUUUCUCACGCUUUACUACCAUUCAAGAAAAUGCGGCCGUGUGGAAACUAAUAUUGACAUAUUCAAUUCAUUUAUGCUAAGGUCUGAUCCGGUAAUAAGUUCAAAGAGAAAAUUCAAAAGAACUAAUAACCAAAAGUUACCAACUGAAGUAUUGGAAUUAUUGAUAUGUCCACUUAUUCCUAAUAACGAUGAAGAAUAUGAUGAUAUUUACGAUGAUGACGGUCAACAAAACGAAAAUGGGUCUAGUGAUGAAAGUAGCAAUAUAAAGCAAUCGCCACCAAUCACUAUAUGAACGGUUCAGAUUGAUAUGGACGCCGAUACGCCUGUAACCAACGCCAACUCUCCUUUCCGCCAGUACUGUGCCGCGCUCUAGAACUGUUUCAAUAGCAGCGCCCCGAACCAUCACGCAGCAACGGCGCCAACCGUUGCACGAAGUUCAACACGCCCAUCACCGACGCCGGCGCAUCCGGAACCGCAACGCACCAGAUGUCCGCUCUGUUGCCGUUCACAUAGGCUGCAGCACUGCUCCAUUUUCAAGGGAAUGUUACCCGUACAACGUCAGGCACAGGCACAUGGGCACUGUCUAAACUGCUUGGCCCAGUCACACGCCACGCAGUUGUGUGAAAGACCGCAUCAUACUUUGCUGCGCCGGAACUGCGAACAUCCUGUCUCGCCAACUGUCCUCCGCCGCCGUAAGACCACCCGACGAUCGCAUCUAAUCCGUGAGGCACUACCACGACAUACAGUAGCUCAUACCUGGCGACCACUCAAUGCGACAUCGACGCGCAAACAGAUAAGGCCACAACCUCACCGCACCACCGGCCUGAGCAGCGUUGUAGCUACGCUAAGGCUAGUACUCGCUUAGGGGGGCCGGGAUGUCGAAAUGAACUUCAGUCGCCCCGAAAUAACCUACUUCAAUUCGUCACAUACAGUUUGCACAUCAACUUUAAUUUUAUUAUUUUUUCAUUUUGCGACACCCAUCCCGCGCGUUUGCAGUACGAUAACAUCGUUUGGACAGCUGAUUCGGUUGUUACACCGCUUCACACAUAUGUUUAUUCGCAUAUACAAUUUUAUCAACUUAUUAUUAAUUGUCAACUUUAUGAUUAAAAUGAAUUAAUCCUUUUGAUCGAAA
Long non-coding RNA from Bactrocera neohumeralis, 2198 nucleotides. RefSeq lists it as uncharacterized. NCBI's taxonomy places the organism in Eukaryota, Metazoa, Arthropoda, Insecta, Diptera, Tephritidae. The record is from RefSeq and is a predicted model, not a curated record. The transcript is spliced from 2 exons.